UCCUGGAACUCAGAUGUGAAAAACAAAAUCAAGUUUGAGGAUGGCUUGGAUACGUCACAAAGUUACUGGCAUAGUAUAAACACCGGUGCAAAAGACUUAAUGACGUGGUAUAAGGACAGGUACAAAGACGUAAUAACGUGGUAUAAGGACAGGUACAAAGACGUAAUGACGUGGUAUAAGGACAGGUACAAAGAGGUAAUGACGUGGUAUAAGGACAGGUACAAAGACGUAAUGACGUGGUAUAAGGACAGGUACAAAGACGUAAUGACGUGGUAUAAGGACAGGUACAAAGACGUAAUGACGUGGUAUAAGGACAGGUACAAAGA
Long non-coding RNA from Haliotis rubra (blacklip abalone), 326 nucleotides. RefSeq lists it as uncharacterized. NCBI's taxonomy places the organism in Eukaryota, Metazoa, Mollusca, Gastropoda, Lepetellida, Haliotidae. The transcript is spliced from 3 exons. The record is from RefSeq and is a predicted model, not a curated record.